UCUUGCAUAGAUUCUUGUCUGCAGCUACAUACUUUGUCAGCUCUUGCAAGCUAAGCAGGGAGAGACUGGGUUAGUACAUGAAUAGGAGACAUUCAGGGAACAACCAGGUGCUAGUU
Molecule: ribosomal RNA, 116 nt
Organism: Gopherus agassizii (Agassiz's desert tortoise)
Lineage: Eukaryota; Metazoa; Chordata; Testudines; Testudinidae
Source: Ensembl